Molecule: ribosomal RNA, 746 nt
Filed under: uncultured bacterium
Lineage: Bacteria
Description: bacterial SSU rRNA
Rfam family: Bacterial small subunit ribosomal RNA
Source: RNAcentral
AACGAACGCUGGCGGCGUGCCUAACACAUGCAAGUCGAGCGGGAAAGCGGGGGUAACCCUGUUAGUACAGCGGCGCACGGGUGAGUAACACGUAGGUAACCUGCCUUCGAGACCGGGAUAACCUGUCGAAAGAUGGGCUAAGACCGGAUAAGACCACGGUGGCUCCGGCUGCUGGGGUAGAAAGUGGCCUCUGCUUGCAAGCUACUACUCGGAGAUGGGCCUGCGCGCCAUUAGCUAGUUGGUGGGGUAACGGCCUACCAAGGCAAAGAUGGCUAGCUGGUCUGAGAGGAUGGCCAGCCACACUGGGACUGAGACACGGCCCAGACUCCUACGGGAGGCAGCAGUGGGGAAUAUUGCGCAAUGGGCGAAAGCCUGACGCAGCGACGCCGCGUGGGUGAUGAAGGCCUUCGGGUCGUAAAGCCCUGUCGGGAGGGACGAAACCUCGGCGACCUAAUAUGUCGCCGACCUGACGGUACCUCUUAAGGAAGCACCGGCUAACUCCGUGCCAGCAGCCGCGGUAAUACGGAGGGUGCAAGCGUUGUUCGGAAUCACUGGGCGUAAAGCGCGUGUAGGCGGUUCCUUAAGUCUGGUGUGAAAGCCCGGGGCUCACCCCCGGAAGUGCACUGGAGACUGAGGAGCUUGAGUACCGGAGAGGAGGGUGGAAUUCCUGGUGUAGCGGUGAAAUGCGUAGAUAUCAGGAGGAACACCGGUGGCGAAGGCGGCCCUCUGGACGGCUACUGACGCUG